Molecule: long non-coding RNA, 2394 nt
Organism: Musa acuminata AAA Group (dessert banana)
Lineage: Eukaryota; Viridiplantae; Streptophyta; Magnoliopsida; Zingiberales; Musaceae
Exons: 7
Source: RefSeq, a predicted model, not a curated record
CCCUUGUUUUGUGUUUCCGAUGGCGCGCACCACCCACGGUUUCUCUCUUCCGGGCUUCCGGCCUUGGGUUCAGGACAAAACAAACGGACCCAUCGUUUUCUAUACCAAACCUCGCCUAUACAUAGCAGAGAGCGCAAUAUUUCUCUUCCAGAUUUCCAUUCCUCUGCAGUUAAAAAGUUCCCAUUCCAUGGCUCCCUCGGCGGCGAUGCUCUUCCUAAGCUACCACCAGUGGAAACCCAAGCCCUCCCCUCAACCUCUUCCCAGUGCUCCUCCUCCUGCCGCCGCUGAUACUUCGUUUCUGGUGAAGUUCUCCAGAAGCCCGGUCUCGCGUCCCUCCUCGCUGCCGGCUGAGCCCGCUGCUCAGGCAGAAGCGAAAGCCUUCCGACGCCAGCACCAAACGACAUCCGACCACGGAGGACAAGUUCCAGGAGGCACUUGAGCUCGGCUGUUGGUCCUUGUGAGGGACAAUACUCAGCCGUACUGCCAUCUUCGUGCAAAAUGGAAAGUUCUUGCCAGAUCUAUGUAUCAUAUGUUGCUCCACGAGGCGUUCCGUGCCCUCUCAAAUUAUGUGCAUCAACGCUCUCCAAAGAUGUCGAUUAAAGGUGGAUUUUGAAGCUGUAGGCCUUUGUGCUCUCAGAAUCCUCCAAUUCUCUUCUCUCUGGCUUUGAUCUGCCAUAUGGUAUCCCAACUUCAUACCAUUUUUUUUUCUCAAAAUGAAAUAGAAAAUUCUGGCGAAAUCAAUCCACGAGCAGAUGAGGGGUUUUGGCAGGUCACAUUGUUUGUCUCUUUCCUUGUUCUUCUCGAAAUAUUCAAGUUUUUGGAGUCUCCGUGGAGCGAUUACAGGAGUGGAAGAAUCAUAUUGGAUCGAUCUGUGCCAGAACUGAAUUAUCGGCGUUGCGUUCUUAGAUCUCAGAAAUAAUAAAAGAUAAUAUAUUGCCGGAACUGAAUUAUCUUUACUGGAUUCCUAGUUCUCAGAAAUAAUAAAAGAUAACAUAUUGCCAGAUCCGAAUCCGAAUCCGAAUCGUGCCACUGCAUCCCGCCUCGCAAAAGCCGAGCCCUCUUCCCCCUAUAAAUGUUUCUCUUAUUCCCAGAGAGAGUCGCAUCGAUGAAGGAACUGCCCAAUUCCACUUUCUUCUUUCUGUCGAUCUUUGCCUCUCACUCGUAUAUCGCAGUUGAGGGCUGCUUGCAUGGAGAGCUGGAUGAGGUGUACGCCUCGAUUCGGCAUGUCGAGAAGAUUGAGGACAUAAAAAUCGACCUCCUAAUCCGCUGUGGCGACUUCCAGGCAGUCAGGAAUGAAAAUGAUCUUGAGAGCUUGAGUUGCAACCACCAAAAUAUCGGAGUAUGAACUCAUUCUGGAAGUAUUACUCUGGACAAGAAGUAGCGCCUGUUCUGACUAUAUAUAUAUUGGUGGGAACCAUGACGCAUCAAAUCAUUUAUGGGAACUGUAUUAUGGAGGCUGGGCUGGACCUAAUAUAUAUUUCUUGGUCUUUUCUGGAGUUAUUAAAUUUGUCAACAUUCGAAUUGGUGGGAUUUCUGGGAUUUAUAAACAAGGCCAUUAUCAUCUAGAUCAAGAAGAGGACUCUAGGCAGCUUGCCUGCUGCAGAGCUGCUAAACCAACAUAAGCCACACAAAUGGUUUUCAGGUCAUAUUCACUGUAAUUUUACAGCUGCUAUUCAGCGCAAGAAGGAUGAGUCUAUCACAAGGUUUGUUGCUCUUGACAAAUGUGUUCCAGGUCGGAAAUUUUUGCUGGUUGAGAUUCCAUGUUUGUUGUUACUCUAAUGAUGCAUAUUAUAUGAAAUCCAAUUGAAAAGCCUAACUCAGUUAAAUUUUUAGAUUGUUGAUAUCAACUCAGAUCCAGGCCCAUAUGAAAUUCGGCAUGAUGCGGACUGGCUGGUAAUAACAAGGAAGUUCAAUAGUAUCUUUCCAUUGAGCUGAAGAACUGUUCAUUUGAGAUCCGACAAGCAAGGUUUUCGUGAGUGGGUGAGGAAUAAGUUAAAUACUAGAGGAGCCAGACUUUUUGAUUUUGUGCAGACCGUUUCACCCUUUGAUCCUUCUCAGCCACUCACAGAAACUUCAACUUCGGUGAUCUAAGGGAGAGAUCGACGACUAUGCAGGAGGCAUGUGUUUCGUUGUGAAAGACAUUUUUCAAUAUCUAAAUUGACCUUUUUGAGUUUACUACCCUGGUUAAGUAAUUUGCCACCUCUUUCUCCUUUGCCUCACGGAGCUAAUUCCAUUCCAUGUAUCCAUUAUACGGGCAUGCAAACAAGACUCGAGACACUAGUCUCAGGGCAAUAGAACAAAUAGAAUAAUUGAUUUGUGCAAGAGAACAAUCCAUUUAUGGGGUGCCUCAUUCAUCUUUAAGAGCAAUACAACAAUCCAAUAAUUUCUUUUCUA